Molecule: non-coding RNA, 116 nt
Organism: Desulfosporosinus sp. OT
Lineage: Bacteria; Bacillati; Bacillota; Clostridia; Eubacteriales; Desulfitobacteriaceae
Source: Rfam
GAGGGUGGAUCCCUCAGAAUCAUUUUACAGGUAUAGAUUCCAAACCACCUAAUGCUGAUUUGGUCAAAAGUCAUGGUAGUGAGCAUUAAGAAAGGUGAAGUUUGACCGCUUCAGGU